CAUGAACCGCGUGCGUCUGGGUCGCUGACGUGCGCGGAAUCACGUUGCCGACUCGGCGGGAAUGAAUGGCGUGCAGAAAGGGGACGGCGCCGCUCUUGCGCGAGCACGUUCCAGCCGCUCAAGAGAUGGUGACAUGUUUUCCGCAGGACGGCUGAAAACUCUGACUGGCCUUGUAUGUGACUGAGGUGGUAAGACGGUCUGCAAGAAGAAAUAAACAGUGCCACAAAGUGCUCGCCACGGAAGAGCAAAAUAAACGAUCUUUAACUGCUGCGAAGAUGAAAGUUGGCUAUGAAGACAUAAAGAAGAAGAAUGGUACGGGCAGAUGAACCGCUCUUCUAGAAUUUUUUUUCCACCAUAAAUAUCUAAAUUAUAUCUAAAUUAUAAAUUAUAACGAGACAUUCGCGGUUUUGUUUUCUUUAUUCUUUAUGUAUGUUUCGUUUUCACCUCCUGCGUUCAACCCUCUCGUGGGUGUGAGCCAAGUAUUGAGGCAACAAGAACAUUUUGUAUCGCUCUGUAUCAGGCUUUGGACCAGAGGGCAGCCAAAACUGCUUCUCGCGUGCCCCAAGGGGUUCCUUGCAGGCCUACUUGCGGCUGACCGUGAGCUACUCGACCGCACAGCCAUAUAGCACAAUUUUGCACUAUAUUCUGCUACAUUGAUUUUGCGAUAUAGUUCUAUAUAACACGCUUUCGUAAUACGUUUCCACCUUUGGUCAAAGCGUCCAGACGCUCUUCGUGAACCUAUUGGCAUCUGCGGCACACACACACAAAAAAAAACAUAGACGUGGCUGUUUUCCUUGGAACAAAGUAUAAGCACUGGUAAGCAGCCAAUGACCCUAAAGUAUGAAAUUUAUGUCUUACAGUUCCGUCUAUUGACAAAAGAUAGAUAAUGCGGCGCUUUGAAUAGGUCAUUCUCGUCGCCCCUACUCUUAAAGAAGGAAAUCUAUCAUUGUGGUUUUUCUCCAACUGCGCGAAUGAACACAGUAGAAAUAAGUGUAAAUGUCGGAUUGAGAAUGAGGAAGGGGGUAGGUAGGUUAGGUAUAAGUAGGUAAGUAUGUAGGGUUAAACGGGGUUUACCUGAAGAGGUUGGAAGCGGCGCGUCACCGGAUACUACAAUUCAAUUGUAUUCAAAGAAAUGUAUUUGAUUUAAGAACAAUAAAUAAAGAAUUUAUAAUGAACA
This is a long non-coding RNA of Dermacentor andersoni, 1177 nucleotides long. RefSeq lists it as uncharacterized. Lineage: Eukaryota; Metazoa; Arthropoda; Arachnida; Ixodida; Ixodidae. The record is from RefSeq and is a predicted model, not a curated record.